AAUACCACCCUUUAAUGUUUGAUGUUCUAACGUGGACCCGUAAUCCGGGUUGCGGACAGUGUCUGGUGGGUAGUUUGACUGGGGCGGUCUCCUCCUAAAGAGUAACGGAGGAGCACGAAGGUUGGCUAAUCCUGGUCGGACAUCAGGAGGUUAGUGCAAUGGCAUAAGCCAGCUUGACUGCGAGCGUGACGGCGCGAGCAGGUGCGAAAGCAGGUCAUAGUGAUCCGGUGGUUCUGAAUGGAAGGGCCAUCGCUCAACGGAUAAAAGGUACUCCGGGGAUAACAGGCUGAUACCGCCCAAGAGUUCAUAUCGACGGCGGUGUUUGGCACCUCGAUGUCGGCUCAUCACAUCCUGGGGCUGAAGUAGGUCCCAAGGGUAUGGCUGUUCGCCAUUUAAAGUGGUACGCGAGCUGGGUUUAGAACGUCGUGAGACAGUUCGGUCCCUAUCUGCCGUGGGCGCUGGAGAACUGAGGGGGGCUGCUCCUAGUACGAGAGGACCGGAGUGGACGCAUCACUGGUGUUCGGGUUGUCAUGCCAAUGGCACUGCCCGGUAGCUAAAUGCGGAAGAGAUAAGUGCUGAAAGCAUCUAAGCACGAAACUUGCCCCGAGAUGAGUUCUCCCUGACUCCUUGAGAGUCCUGAAGGAACGUUGAAGACGACGACGUUGAUAGG
This 670-nucleotide ribosomal RNA is filed under the name Escherichia coli. RNAcentral describes it as "partial 23S ribosomal RNA". It matches the Rfam family "Bacterial large subunit ribosomal RNA", at positions 2196 to 2860 of the family's 2925-position model. The record is from RNAcentral. Lineage: Bacteria; Pseudomonadati; Pseudomonadota; Gammaproteobacteria; Enterobacterales; Enterobacteriaceae.